GAUGAACGCUGGCCGCGUGCCUAAUACAUGCAAGUCGAGCGAACGGACGAGAAGCUUGCUUCUCUGAUGUUAGCGGCGGACGGGUGAGUAACACGUGGAUAACCUACCUAUAAGACUGGGAUAACUUCGGGAAACCGGAGCUAAUACCGGAUAAUAUUUUGAACCGCAUGGUUCAAAAGUGAAAGACGGUCUUGCUGUCACUUAUAGAUGGAUCCGCGCUGCAUUAGCUAGUUGGUAAGGUAACGGCUUACCAAGGCAACGAUGCAUAGCCGACCUGAGAGUGUGAUCGGCCACACUGGAACUGAGACACGGUCCAGACUCCUACGGGAGGCAGCAGUAGGGAAUCUUCCGCAAUGGGCGAAAGCCUGACGGAGCAACGCCGCGUGAGUGAUGAAGGUCUUCGGAUCGUAAAACUCUGUUAUUAGGGAAGAACAUAUGUGUAAGUAACUGUGCACAUCUUGACGGUACCUAAUCAGAAAGCCACGGCUAACUACGUG
RNAcentral lists this ribosomal RNA (497 nucleotides) under uncultured bacterium. Its description in RNAcentral is "partial 16S ribosomal RNA". It matches the Rfam family "Bacterial small subunit ribosomal RNA", at positions 28 to 507 of the family's 1533-position model. The record is from RNAcentral.